CCUANGGGGGGCAGCAGUGGGGAAUUGUUCGCAAUGGGCGAAAGCCUGACGACGCAACGCCGCGUGGGGGAUGAAGGUCUUCGGAUCGUAAACCCCUGUCGAGCGGGAAGAACGACCCGUGAUUGAAUAGAUCGCGGGAGUGACGGUACCGCUAAAGGAAGCCACGGCUAACUCUGUGCCAGCAGCCGCGGUAAUACAGAGGUGGCAAGCGUUGUUCGGAAUUACUGGGCGUAAAGGGCGCGUAGGCGGCCUUCUAAGUCAGACGUGAAAUCCCAAGGCUUAACCUUGGAACUGCGUCUGAUACUGGAAGGCUAGAGGUCGGGAGAGGGAUGUAGAAUUCCAGGUGUAGCGGUGAAAUGCGUAGAUAUCUGGAGGAAUACCGGUGGCGAAGGCGGCAUCCUGGACCGAAACUGACGCUGAGGCGCGAAAGCUAGGGUAGCAAACGGGAUUAGAUACCCCANUANUC
RNAcentral lists this ribosomal RNA (466 nucleotides) under uncultured bacterium. Its description in RNAcentral is "bacterial SSU rRNA". It matches the Rfam family "Bacterial small subunit ribosomal RNA", at positions 338 to 795 of the family's 1533-position model. The record is from RNAcentral.